Molecule: long non-coding RNA, 1047 nt
Filed under: Equus asinus (donkey)
Lineage: Eukaryota; Metazoa; Chordata; Mammalia; Perissodactyla; Equidae
Description: lncRNA (ENSEASG00005028615.1)
Source: RNAcentral
UGAAAUUUGCCCUGUGGUUGUACGCUAGGCCAUAAAGCUUUCAAGAUUGAUUGAAUGAAGAGGUCUCAUAAUUAAAACUUAUUUUUCAUUCUCUAGCAGCAGCAGAACCUGUGAGUGACCCAGGGAUUGAUCAAGCCCUCAGUGGUGCUGAACUGUCUGGCAGUUUCGAUAUAGGCUUACUCUGAAGACCAGUGGAACCAGAGGACUGUCACCAUGCCACCAGCUGCAUUUCUACUGUCAUCACAGUCAAGUGCUUUGACUCAUCCUCCACACUAAUGAAACUCAUAGGAGGAUUCACUUGAGUCAGUUCCUUAACUCUGGCUCACUGAGUUUCCCUGUUGAGUGUUUUGCUGCUUGGAAAAUGGGAGGAACAGCUAUCGAUGCAUCCCACUAAGAAAGUAGAGAGCAGAAGACAGAUGCAUAAGCAGAAAAUGGAUUGCCAACACUGUUGUCACAUUAAGCACGUGUGGUACAAAAGGAUCUAGCAGGAUGGAAAGUGAGAAAUGCAUCCUCAGGUCCAGGCGAGCCCCUUGCCACAUGCCAUUCUUCAUUUAAAGGGCAACCCUCUUCUGUUAAUCUCUCAGAUUAACCCCUCACUGCCUGUGUAUCGGUGGGAAGAACCGUUCACGUGGUCGUAUCUCAGAGUUUUGCUUCUGGUCCAGAGACGAUGCCUGGGACUGGAGUAGGAGCCACCCAAUUGUGACAAGCGGUCCCCAGGGACAAAGGUCUUUGUUGUGAACACUCCAAGACAAUACGGAACUGCACAGUCCCCAGGGCAAAAUCAGGGCUGCCCUCCAAGGGGAGUGAUCGCAGGGGCAGAGACCCCCACCUGUUGAUCUCCUCCUUCCCGGGGCGAGCGGCAACCUGCAUUGUGCUUGGGACGCAUGCGUUUCUACACCAGCCUCAGCAGAUGGCGCCGGUGAGCAAAGCCAUUCCCUUCCCUCUCCCGCCCCUCCCCACCGCCAGAGCCUCGCUGGUCUAAAGCGAAAACAGAUGUUUUCAUCAUUUCUGGAUCUGGCAUGUGACUUGCAGUUCAGCAGUGUGCCG